This 1003-nucleotide ribosomal RNA is filed under the name uncultured bacterium. Its description in RNAcentral is "bacterial SSU rRNA". It matches the Rfam family "Bacterial small subunit ribosomal RNA", at positions 353 to 1371 of the family's 1533-position model. The record is from RNAcentral.
AGUGAGGAAUAUUGCACAAUGGAGGAAACUCUGAUGCAGCAACGCCGCGUGGAGGAUGACGCAUUUCGGUGUGUAAACUCCUUUUAUAUGUCAAGAAAAUGACGGUAGCAUAUGAAUAAGCACCGGCUAACUCCGUGCCAGCAGCCGCGGUAAUACGGAGGGUGCAAGCGUUACUCGGAAUCACUGGGCGUAAAGGACGCGUAGGCGGGAUAGUAAGUCUGAUGUGAAAUCCUAUGGCUUAACCAUAGAACUGCAUUGGAAACUACUAACCUAGAGUAUGGGAGGGGGAGAUGGAAUUAGUGGUGUAGGGGUAAAAUCCGUAGAUAUCACUAGGAAUACCCAAAGCGAAGGCGAUCUCCUGGAACAUAACUGACGCUGAGGCGUGAAAGCGUGGGGAGCAAACGGGAUUAGAUACCCCGGUAGUCCACGCCCUAAACGAUGUUCACUAGUCGUCGGAAAGCUUGUCUUUUCGGUGAUGCACUUAACAGAUUAAGUGAACCGCCUGGGGAGUACGGUCGCAAGAUUAAAACUCAAAGGAAUAGACGGGGACCCGCACAAGUGGUGGAGCAUGUGGUUUAAUUCGAAGAUACGCGAAGAACCUUACCUAGCCUUGACAUUGAUUGAAUCCAGCAGAGAUGCAGGAGUGCCUUUCGGGGAACAUGAAAACAGGUGCUGCACGGCUGUCGUCAGCUCGUGUCGUGAGAUGUUGGGUUAAGUCCCGCAACGAGCGCAACCCUCGUCCUUAGUUGCCAGCAGGUUAAGCUGGGCACUCUAAGGAGACUGCCUUCGUAAGGAGGAGGAAGGUGAGGACGACGUCAAGUCAUCAUGGCCCUUAUGGCUAGGGCUACACACGUGCUACAAUGGGGCGUACAGAGUGUUGCGAUACCGCGAGGUGGAGCUAAUCACUUAAAGCGUCUCUCAGUUCGGAUUGGAGUCUGCAACUCGACUCCAUGAAGCUGGAAUCACUAGUAAUCGUAGAUCAGCAAUGCUACGGUGAAUACGU